This 1769-nucleotide long non-coding RNA is filed under the name Fukomys damarensis (Damara mole-rat). RNAcentral describes it as "lncRNA (ENSFDAG00000028390.1)". Lineage: Eukaryota; Metazoa; Chordata; Mammalia; Rodentia; Bathyergidae. The record is from RNAcentral.
AGACGGCCCGGUCCGCUUCUCAGGACCGAGCGGAUGUGCGCUCCUGGUUAGGCUGGAAGGAGCCAGGCGCAGGGGAAGAGAGGCCUGGGAAGCCGGGAAGGCCAGGGCGGAGCUCCUCCCACUGCGGAGGCGUCCACCCCGGGGAGCCAGGAGCAGGCGUCCCGCGAGCGUCACCUCGCCUCCCACAUGUCUGCGUCCCUAUCCCUGAGAACGGAAGGCGGCUGGCGAGGCGGACACACACAGUACAAGGCACGCAGGGGGCUCCCCACGCGCCGGAACCCGAGGCUGGCAGUGAGCUUGGGAAUCCAGGCGGAAGUGUGCCAAGACAAGCGCGAAGAGACAGCUCGCAAGUGGGGCCCUGGGGACCUCUCUCCCCGGCCCUCACAGCCUCUCUCAAGGGCAGGAUCCACCCACUUUACAGAUGAGGAAACUGAGGCUGGACACAGCACACUGCGAGACCAGGGAGCUGCAAGAACAGAGCACGGAUGGGAACCCACAGGCUUCUCCAAACGCAGGGGCUCCCGGAAGUGGCUGAUGGCCUGCAGGAGAGGCCCUCAGAGAGCUGGGAGAGUAGGGAGUCCCUCAUGCCCCUUACAGACAGAGACUGUCGCUCCCGGCCCUCCUGCUCUGGACAGAGAAGGCUUCCUGCGCUGGCUGCCGGGUCCUCUGCUGCUUUCCUGGGUGGUGGAGAGUGGCUGCCCAGCCCGGUGGGUGGAAGGAAAGCUGGCAGGGCUCCCGAGUGACACACUUAUUAUAGCUCACCUUGUCCCCAGAAAUGAGUGAGAGACUCCACACAGGCCCUGCUCUGCCCAACUCGGGCCUGGUACAGGAGCCACCUCUAGCCCAGCCCCAGGCUCCGUGUUGUGGACAGUGUGUCAGGGUUCUCUGUCCUCACCCGCUCCACGAUCCUGUUUUUCCCACUGAGAAACUGGCCCAGAGAGCUUAAGGUGGGGGGGGGGGCGGUCACAGGAAGCCCCCGCAUGGCUUUUGUGCGGAAGAAGCCUCGAACACAGUCUCUGCUGGGGAGUAACAGGAGCCAGGGGAGGCCAGGGGGCCAUAGCUGUGCUGGGUCAGAGGGGCCUUCCUGGCCAUUGGGACCUCCCAGCCAGGACUGCUGCACCCCCGGACAGGACAGAAGCCUCCUGCUACCCAGCUCCAUUCUCUAGACUCCUGGGGCUACACCCAGUCAGCCUUCCACACCCGCACCCCAGGAAGAAGUCCCCCCACCCAGCUUGACACCUGGGAUGGCCCUGCACCCAGAGACACCCGGAGAUCCACAGCAGGCGGGCUUCUGCUCUCCUUCCUGUACAGCAGGAAUGCUGAAAAGGUCCCGAGAAGCCUGGCACGUGUUAGAGGUGGGUGGUGGGGAAGCCAGGCACAGCUGCCGUCCUGAGGAGGGACAGGGACUCCAGUGGUGGCUGCCAGCCUCCCGACCUCCCCUGCUGCAUUCCACCCCCUUCCUUGCGUGCCUGUGUUAAAAAGCAAACAUUUCAAACGCCUUGGUGAGUGGAGGCCAGGCAAGGCAGAGCGGACAGGGAAUGCUUCUCUGGGAAGUUUGGGAAAGCAUUUCAAGUAUGUUGUGUCAGAAAGCACUCCAGAGGGAGGGGACAGCCUCAGUGGUCCUGACCCAGCCUGUCCCCCUCACCUGGACAGCAGCACAUCCCUGGCAGAGCUGUGGCCAAGGAAUAGGACUGUAGACCUCGCCUUAUGCAGACUGCAUAGAGGACCCGGUUCCUCUGAGACCCCAGUGCCUUCUGAAGACCUUGAGG